This 440-nucleotide ribosomal RNA is filed under the name uncultured bacterium. RNAcentral describes it as "partial 16S ribosomal RNA". It matches the Rfam family "Bacterial small subunit ribosomal RNA", at positions 338 to 795 of the family's 1533-position model. The record is from RNAcentral.
CCUACGGGGGGCAGCAGUGGGGAAUAUUGCACAAUGGGGGAAACCCUGAUGCAGCGACGCCGCGUGGAGGAUGAAGGUUUUCGGAUUGUAAACUCCUUUUGUUAGAGAAGAUAAUGACUGUAUCUAACGAAUAAGCACCGGCUAACUCCGUGCCAGCAGCCGCGGUAAUACGGAGGGUGCAAGCGUUACUCGGAAUCACUGGGCGGAAAGAGCGCGUAGGCGGGAUAGCAAGUCAGAUGUGAAAUCCUAUGGCUUAACCAUAGAACUGCAUUUGAAACUGUUAUUCUAGAGUAUGGGAGAGGUAGGUGGAAUGCUUGGUGUAGGGGUAAAAUCCGUAGAGAUCAAGAGGAAUACUCAUUGCGAAGGCGACCUGCUAGAACAUAACUGACGCUGAUGCGCGAAAGCGUGGGGAGCAAACAGGAUUAGAUACCCUAGUAGUC